RNAcentral lists this long non-coding RNA (583 nucleotides) under Eucalyptus grandis. Its description in RNAcentral is "long non-coding RNA (EGRA_LNC001684)". Lineage: Eukaryota; Viridiplantae; Streptophyta; Magnoliopsida; Myrtales; Myrtaceae. The record is from RNAcentral.
UUUCUCUCUUUUCCUUCGCUCAUCCCACCGAUUCCCCAGCUUUGCACGCCUCCCCUCCCACCAGUCAACUUCCAAGAACAAGCCCUCCCUUAAGUUGACUUCAGCAGCACCACCAUCAAUUGUCCGCAUCACAUCCACGCCUUCUACCCCAACAUCAGCGACCGCUUGCCAGCUCGCCCAUCGUCUUCGUGCAUCAACGACGCCUCCACCGAAGCAAUUCCCACCGAGUUUUUCUCUCCAAGCUGCCACGUCCGGGUCAACUAAACUUCAAGCGAAGCCCCAUCAUUGACCUUGAAGCUUCUCCGUGCGCCACGCCUACAGCUCCAUCGAACUCAUCAUCCACCGAAGUUGCUCCACCAAGUCUUGUCUUCAUGCUGGUUUGUUGACCCCAGAAUCAAGCCGUGGCGUCCUCCAUCGGGUGAAUCGCCCACACGUCUGAAGCUACCGCUGUGUUGACUCCAACUCGUGGCCACCGAAGUGAAGACCCAGCAAGCUGCUCACUUUGUCCGCGUUGUCUCUCUCUCGCUCGUGAAUUUCCUCACCGAAGCUGCCCCGUGCAUGACACCAGCGAAGCCAGCCCAAC